Long non-coding RNA from Sesamum indicum (sesame), 1127 nucleotides. RefSeq lists it as uncharacterized. Lineage: Eukaryota; Viridiplantae; Streptophyta; Magnoliopsida; Lamiales; Pedaliaceae. The record is from RefSeq and is a predicted model, not a curated record.
ACCUACACUACAUCAUCAUUAAUAUAAUUGUGAAUUAAAACUAGUUAUAUAUAGUGGGAGGAGGUUAGGUUUGUUGGUUUUUACUGCGGUGGGGCGGGGCGUCCACGUGCUUACUACGUAGUUAUUAACAUUCUUUCUGGGCCUUCAUAUUGUAGCUGUGACAGUCAGGUCCGUAAGGACACCCCACUGCCUGUGCCUGUCCAUAAAAUCCCCCCCUUCUCUCCUCCUUACCUUUCUUCAUAAUUCCUUUUUCUCUAUCUCAUUCUCACCACCAUCAAUCUCUCUCUCUCCUUGUAUUCAUCUAGUAUUUCCCAUGGUAGACAGAGAAAAGAUUGCAAAGCAGAAAGUAACCCUGGAAUUUUCACAACUACUAGGGUAUGAGUUUGAUGAAAUCACUGACUUUGAUGGGCUUACAAAGGGAGGAAGCCUUGAUACAAGAGGAGAAAAUCUUGGUUCAUAUAAUUUGUAUGAUGAAGAUUAAUGGGCAAUCGGUGUAUACUUGUUCACGCUAGUUCACUGGGUGCUAUCCUACCUGAGCUUUUUUUUCUUUUUAUUUUUAUUUUUUGACUUGUUGCCUUUUAUUUUUCUCCCUUUGAUUGUUUUCUUGACCUUGUAAGACCUUUUCUUGACCUUGUAAGACCCCAUUUGUUGUGGUCUUUUCCUAUUUUUUAUGUGGUUUUGGAUGCCACACCGGAGUAUUUUGGUGUUGGCCUCAUCUACUUUUUUUCUUCGUUCCCGUCCAACUCACGUUCUCCUUCCUUGUCUAUCCCUCCUGAGCUAUUCAAAUUUACAAGUGUUUCUAUGUGGAUCAGUAUUGUCAUCAAGAAACACCUUUGGGAAACUUGACUCUUAUUUUUUUUUUGGUUGUAAUAAAUUGGGAUUAGUGUUAGAAAUGUAAUAAAAAAGAAAAGGUGGUGUUUGUAAUUGGAUAUAUAUAUUAUGUGAUUGAGUAAAAGCUGGACAGUGUAUAUUCUUGUGGUAGGGCCAUGAAUUUGAAUUGUAUUAGAUGGGCAGAUAGCCAAAUAUAGAGAUGGUGUGGGGGUUGAGUCCCUGAGUUUGGUUGUUUUAUAUGUUGUUGGGGUGAAAAGUAGUAUGAGAAUAAAUAUUCUUGCAGUGAUGUGUGGAAA